CUGGCGGCGUGCUUAACACAUGCAAGUCGAACGCGAAGGGACUUCGGUCCUGAGUAAAGUGGCGCACGGGUGAGUAACGCGUAGAUAACCUGUCUUCAUGUCUGGAAUAAUACGCCGAAAGGGGUACUAAUACCGGAUAUUCUUUGCUUUUCAUAAGUUAUGCAAGCAAAGGUGGCCUCUGCAUAUGCUACUGCAUGAAGAGGGGUCUGCGUACCAUUAGCUAGUAGGUGGGGCAAUGGCCUACCUAGGCGACGAUGGUUAGCGGGUCUGAGAGGAUGAUCCGCCACACUGGCACUGGAACACGGGCCAGACUCCUACGGGAGGCAGCAGUGAGGAAUAUUGCGCAAUGGGGGAAACCCUGACGCAGCGACGCCGCGUGAGUGAAGGAAGGCCUUCGGGUCGUAAAGCUCUGUCAAGAGGAAAGAAGUGUACAAUGGCUAAUACCUGUUGUAUUUGACGGUACCUCUAAAGGAAGCACCGGCUAACUCCGUGCCAGCAGCCGC
Molecule: ribosomal RNA, 503 nt
Filed under: uncultured bacterium
Lineage: Bacteria
Description: bacterial SSU rRNA
Rfam family: Bacterial small subunit ribosomal RNA
Source: RNAcentral